GAUGAACGCUAGCUACAGGCUUAACACAUGCAAGUCGCGGGGCAGCAUGGGGGUUGCUUGCAACCCCUGAUGGCGACCGGCGCACGGGUGAGUAAAGCGUAUCCAACCUGCCCUUCACCACGGGAUAACCCGGCGAAAGACGGACUAAUACCGUAUGUUUUCCAUUGACGGCAUCCGAUUUGGCUGAAAGGCUUGGGGGAGAAAGUAUGGUGAUGCGUCCGAUUAGCUUGACGGCGGGGUAACCGCGCCCCGUGGGUACGGUCGGUAGGGGUUAUGAGAGGAAGGUCCCCCACACUGGAACUGAGACACGGUCCAGACUCCUACGGGAGGCAGCAGUGAGGAAUAGUAGUCAAUGGGCAUAAGCCUGAACCAGCCAAGUAGCGUGCAGGAUGACGGCGCUAUGGGUUGUAAACUGCUUUUAUGCGGGGAUAAAGUGGCCCACGUGUGAGCUUUUGCAGGUACCGCAUGAAUAAGGACCGGCUAAUUCCGUG
RNAcentral lists this ribosomal RNA (491 nucleotides) under uncultured bacterium. RNAcentral's name for it is "partial 16S ribosomal RNA". It matches the Rfam family "Bacterial small subunit ribosomal RNA", at positions 28 to 507 of the family's 1533-position model. The record is from RNAcentral.